GACGAACGCUGGCGGCGUGCUUAACACAUGCAAGUCGAACGGAAAGGCCCUGCUUUUGUGGGGUGCUCGAGUGGCGAACGGGUGAGUAACACGUGAGUAACCUGCCCUUGACUUUGGGAUAACUUCAGGAAACUGGGGCUAAUACCGGAUAUGAGCUCCUGCUGCAUGGGGGGGGUUGGAAAGUUUCGGCGGUUGGGGAUGGACUCGCGGCUUAUCAGCUUGUUGGUGGGGUAGUGGCUUACCAAGGCUUUGACGGGUAGCCGGCCUGGGAGGGUGACCGGCCACAUUGGGACUGAGAGACGGCCCAGACUCCUACGGGAGGCAGCAGUGGGGAAUAUUGCACAAUGGGCGGAAGCCUGAUGCAGCAACGCCGCGUGCGGGAUGACGGCCUUCGGGUUGUAAACCGCUUUCGCCUGUGACGAAGCGUGAGUGACGGUAAUGGGUAAAGAAGCACCGGCUAACUACGUG
RNAcentral lists this ribosomal RNA (468 nucleotides) under uncultured bacterium. RNAcentral's name for it is "partial 16S ribosomal RNA". It matches the Rfam family "Bacterial small subunit ribosomal RNA", at positions 28 to 507 of the family's 1533-position model. The record is from RNAcentral.